This 216-nucleotide ribosomal RNA is filed under the name uncultured bacterium. Its description in RNAcentral is "partial 16S ribosomal RNA". It matches the Rfam family "Bacterial small subunit ribosomal RNA", at positions 15 to 241 of the family's 1533-position model. The record is from RNAcentral.
GAUCAUGGCUCAGAGUGAACGCUGGCGGCGUGCCUAAUACAUGCAAGUCGAACGAUGAAGCUUCUAGCUUGCUAGAAUGCUGAUUAGUGGCGCACGGGUGAGUAACGCAUAGGUCAUGUGCCUCUUAGUUUGGGAUAGCCAUUGGAAACGAUGAUUAAUACCAGAUACUCCCUACGGGGGAAAGAUUCAUCGCUAAGAGAUCAGCCUAUGUCCUAU